AUCCCGGCGGCCGGACGGUCGGUC
RNAcentral lists this non-coding RNA (24 nucleotides) under Arabidopsis thaliana (thale cress). The record is from RNAcentral. Lineage: Eukaryota; Viridiplantae; Streptophyta; Magnoliopsida; Brassicales; Brassicaceae.